RNAcentral lists this ribosomal RNA (452 nucleotides) under uncultured bacterium. RNAcentral describes it as "bacterial SSU rRNA". It matches the Rfam family "Bacterial small subunit ribosomal RNA", at positions 910 to 1362 of the family's 1533-position model. The record is from RNAcentral.
UUGACGGGGACCCGCACAAGCGGUGGAUGAUGUGGUUUAAUUCGAUGCAACGCGAAAAACCUUACCCACCUUUGACAUGUACGGAAUUUGCCAGAGAUGGCUUAGUGCUCGAAAGAGAACCGUAACACAGGUGCCGCAUGGCUGUCGUCAGCUCGUGUCGUGAGAUGUUGGGUUAAGUCCCGCAACGAGCGCAACCCUUGUCAUUAGUUGCUACAUUCAGUUGGGCACUCUAAUGAGACUGCCGGUGACAAACCGGAGGAAGGUGGGGAUGACGUCAAGUCCUCAUGGCCCUUAUAGGUGGGGCUACACACGUCAUACAAUGGCCGGUACAAAGGGUCGCAAACCCGCGAGGGGGAGCCAAUCCAUCAAAGCCGGUCGUAGUCCGGAUCGCAGUCUGCAACUCGACUGCGUGAAGUCGGAAUCGCUAGUAAUCGUGGAUCAGCAUGUCACGG